RNAcentral lists this unclassified non-coding RNA (300 nucleotides) under Hevea brasiliensis (rubber tree). The record is from RNAcentral. Lineage: Eukaryota; Viridiplantae; Streptophyta; Magnoliopsida; Malpighiales; Euphorbiaceae.
UGGAAAAUCAAACAAAGCAAAAAAAGAAAAAGCAUAUUCGGCGGGCCAAGGUUACAAUCGUAAUUUACACCAAAUGCGAGGUCUACUAGCUAUCCAACUCGGUAAUAGGGUUGUUUCGUUCGCAGAAAGUAGCAGCUCGGCUCUAUUCAAUUCCCACUAGGACACUGAAACCCGAUACAAAACCCACUCUCACACAGAGAGAAUCCUUUCUCGUUCACCUAUUUUUCCAAUUAGAGACUUGGCUGAUACUCAAUAGCUGCGAUGUGCAUUGAUUUCUAUGGGCUAUAGAUAUAAUUGAUA